GACAGAGGAGGCAAGCGUUGUUCGGAAUCAUUGGGCUUAAAGCGCGCGUAGGCGGCCUUGUAAGUGUCUUGUGAAAUCCCACGGCUCACCCGUGGAACUGCAGGGCAAACUGCAAGACUUGAGGUCGGUAGAGGCGCCUGGAACUCUAGGUGGAGCGGUGAAAUGCGUAGAGAUCUAGGGGAACGCCGGAGGCGAAAGCGGGGCGCUGGGCCGAUGCUGACGAUGAUGCGCGAAAGAGUGGGGAGCAAACAGG
This 253-nucleotide ribosomal RNA is filed under the name uncultured bacterium. RNAcentral's name for it is "partial 16S ribosomal RNA". It matches the Rfam family "Bacterial small subunit ribosomal RNA", at positions 524 to 776 of the family's 1533-position model. The record is from RNAcentral.